CAAUGGACGCAAGUCUGAUCCAGCCAUGCCGCGUGAGGGAUGAAUGCCCUCUGGGUUGUAAACUUCUUUUGUAGGGGAAGAAAGAUACUUUUUUUAAGGUAGUUGACGGUACCCUAUGAAUAAGCACCGGCUAACUCCGUGCCAGCAGCCGCGGUAAUACGGAGGGUGCCAGCGUUAUCCGGAUUUACUGGGUUUAAAGGGUGCGUAGGCGGGCAUGUAAGUCAGUGGUGAAAGACCGGAGCUUAACUUCGGAACUGCGAUUGAUACUAUAUGUCUUGAAGAUUGUGGAGGUAAGCGGAAUAUGUCAUGUAGCGGUGAAAUGCAUAGAUAUGACAUAGAACAC
RNAcentral lists this ribosomal RNA (343 nucleotides) under uncultured bacterium. RNAcentral's name for it is "bacterial SSU rRNA". It matches the Rfam family "Bacterial small subunit ribosomal RNA", at positions 369 to 709 of the family's 1533-position model. The record is from RNAcentral.